RNAcentral lists this ribosomal RNA (195 nucleotides) under uncultured bacterium. Its description in RNAcentral is "partial 16S ribosomal RNA". It matches the Rfam family "Bacterial small subunit ribosomal RNA", at positions 1298 to 1500 of the family's 1533-position model. The record is from RNAcentral.
UUGGAGUCUGCAACCCGACUCCAUGAAGCUGGAUUCGCUAGUAAUCGCGCAUCAGCCACGGCGCGGUGAAUACGUUCCCGGGCCUUGUACACACCGCCCGUCAAGCCAUGGAAGCCGGGAGUGCCUGAAGUGCGUGAGCGCAAGCAGCGCCCUAAGGUAAAACCGGUGACUGGGGCUAAGUCGUAACAAGGUAUC